CUUCGUCUGGGGGGGGUGGCCGGGGCUCCGGCCUCGGCGGCUUGCAAAGCCCCCAUCUUGACCGAGAUCUGAAGAAGUAGACUAUUGUUCUGCGAUCGGGAAGAGAUGCCGGCCCUCGCGUGCGUAGAUGCUGCAGCGCCGCCCCCUGGCUACGUCUUCGCUUGGGAUGGCGCUCUUCCCGCGCCGGGGAUAUUCCCCGGCGACACUCCGACUACGGCGGGUGGUGUCACCGCCGACCGCCCCUCCGACUGGUCCACCGACCUCUCCGCCUCCCUCUACCGGAUCGAAGGCUGGGGCGCGCCUUACUUCUGCGUCAAUUCCGACGGCGACAUCGCCGUCCGGCCGCACGGCGCAGCCACCCUCGCCCACCAAGAGAUCGACCUCAUGAAGGUGGUGAAGAAAGCCACCGACCCCAAGUCCGCCGGCGGGCUAGGCCUCCGC
RNAcentral lists this long non-coding RNA (441 nucleotides) under Musa acuminata (dwarf banana). RNAcentral describes it as "long non-coding RNA (MACU_LNC005922)". Lineage: Eukaryota; Viridiplantae; Streptophyta; Magnoliopsida; Zingiberales; Musaceae. The record is from RNAcentral.